RNAcentral lists this unclassified non-coding RNA (297 nucleotides) under Coussarea klugii. RNAcentral's name for it is "partial external transcribed spacer". Lineage: Eukaryota; Viridiplantae; Streptophyta; Magnoliopsida; Gentianales; Rubiaceae. The record is from RNAcentral.
GAGUCGUUCGGUCAAAGCGCGUUCAGCGCUAGUUCUGAGCAGAUAGGGUUCGAAAACCCAUUGCCCCCAACGUAUUCUGCUUCCCCGAGAUCGGGCAGGCAAUCGAGGGCUGCGACAACUGCACGACGUGUGAGUGCCGCAGAACGCGAUCGUCGCCUAGGGGUUCACCCGGAGCUACACCGCGCAAACGGAUAGCACCGAGGUGAACGGUAUAUAUUUCGACAAAUGAAUUCCAUCGGUAUAGGUAUGCAACACAGGAAACCGCAAAAGGUGGACGAGGCUAAUGUCGCUCUCGCA